AGUGGCGCACGGGUGAGUAACGCGUGGGAAUCUGCCCAAGAGUGGGGAAUAACUAUUGGAAACGAUAGCUAAUACCGCAUACGCCCUCCGGGGGAAAGGCUUGCCGCUAAAAGAGGGGCCCGCGUCUGAUUAGCUUGUUGGUAAGGUAAUGGCUUACCAAGGCUACGAUCAGUAGCUGGUCUGAGAGGAUGAUCAGCCACACUGGGACUGAGACACGGCCCAGACUCC
RNAcentral lists this ribosomal RNA (228 nucleotides) under uncultured bacterium. Its description in RNAcentral is "partial 16S ribosomal RNA". It matches the Rfam family "Bacterial small subunit ribosomal RNA", at positions 94 to 339 of the family's 1533-position model. The record is from RNAcentral.